Molecule: small RNA, 528 nt
Filed under: Pongo abelii (Sumatran orangutan)
Lineage: Eukaryota; Metazoa; Chordata; Mammalia; Primates; Hominidae
Description: processed transcript
Source: RNAcentral
AGUAUGCAUAAAAGCCAGAACAGAUGACAGAGCUCAGUAAGGAAGACCUUACUAUUUGUGACAUCUAUCAGAAUUUAACUUGAGAAACUAUGAUUUCAAGGACCUGAGGGCACUUGCUUUGCUCCUGUCAGUACACACUCCCAAACAGUUAAACCCAGCUCUAAUUCCAACUCUGCAAGAGCUUUUAAGCAAAUGCAGGACUUGUCUGCAACAGAGAAGCUCACUCCAAGAGCAAGAAGCCAAAGAAAGAAAAACUAAAGAGAAGUUUCCGUUUUGGCAUGUGUUUCCACAGAUGAUGAAGGAGCAACUCCCAUUAAAAGGCGGCGUGUUAGCAGUGAUGAGGAGCACACUGUAGACAGCUGCAUCAGUGACAUGAAAACAGAAACCAGGGAGGUCCUGACCCCAACGAGCACUUCUGACAAUGAGACCAGAGACUCCUCAAUUAUUGAUCCAGGAACUGAGCAAGAUCUUCCUUCCCCUGAAAAUAGUUCUGUUAAAGAAUACCGAAUGGAAGUUCCAUCUUCGUUU